This 233-nucleotide ribosomal RNA is filed under the name uncultured bacterium. RNAcentral describes it as "partial 16S ribosomal RNA". It matches the Rfam family "Bacterial small subunit ribosomal RNA", at positions 15 to 244 of the family's 1533-position model. The record is from RNAcentral.
GAUCAUGGCUCAGAUUGAACGCUGGCGGCAGGCCUAACACAUGCAAGUCGAACGGUAACAGGAAACAGCUUGCUGUUUCGCUGACGAGUGGCGGACGGGUGAGUAAUGUCUGGGAAACUGCCUGAUGGAGGGGGAUAACUACUGGAAACGGUAGCUAAUACCGCAUAAUGUCGCAAGACCAAAGAGGGGGGACCUUCGGGCCUCUUGCCAUCGGAUGUGCCCAGAUGGAUUAG